Molecule: transfer RNA, 74 nt
Filed under: Pirellula sp.
Lineage: Bacteria; Pseudomonadati; Planctomycetota; Planctomycetia; Pirellulales; Pirellulaceae
Also listed under: 2 other names
Description: tRNA-Met
Rfam family: tRNA
About the family: Transfer RNA (tRNA) molecules are approximately 80 nucleotides in length.
Source: RNAcentral
GGCGGGGUAGCUCAGUUGGUUAGAGUACCGGAUUCAUAAUCCGGCUGUCACGGGUUCGAGUCCCGUCCCCGCUA